UUUCCAUAGGUGAACCUGCGGAAGGAUCAUUAUUGUAUAACCGAGGUGCGAGGGCUGUCGCUGACCCGAAAGGUCGUGCACGCCCGAGUGCCCUCACACACAUCCACCUCACCCCUAUGUGCACCACCGCGUGGGUCCCCCUUUGGCUUGUUCGGAGGGGGGCUUACGUUUUCACACAAACUUUGUAUGCAGUGUAGAAUGUAUUUUUUGUUUUUGCGAUCACGCAAUCAAUACAACUUUCAACAACGGAUCUCUUGGCUCUC
Molecule: unclassified non-coding RNA, 263 nt
Filed under: plant metagenome
Description: partial contains small subunit ribosomal RNA, internal transcribed spacer 1, and 5.8S ribosomal RNA
Source: RNAcentral